Molecule: ribosomal RNA, 112 nt
Filed under: Pseudomonas sp. MD195_PC81_125
Lineage: Bacteria; Pseudomonadati; Pseudomonadota; Gammaproteobacteria; Pseudomonadales; Pseudomonadaceae
Description: partial 23S ribosomal RNA
Rfam family: Bacterial large subunit ribosomal RNA
Source: RNAcentral
GUUAUAUGGUCAAGUGAAGAAGCGCAUACGGUGGAUGCCUUGGCAGUCAGAGGCGAUGAAAGAGUGGUAGCCUGCGAAAAGCUUCGGGGAGUCGGCAAACAGACUUUGAUCC